GGGGAUAUAGCUCAGCUGGGAGAGCGCUUCCAUGGCAUGGAAGAGGUCAGGGGUUCGAGCCCCCUUAUCUCCACCA
This 76-nucleotide transfer RNA is filed under the name Armatimonadota bacterium. RNAcentral's name for it is "Armatimonadetes bacterium (activated sludge metagenome) tRNA-Ala". It matches the Rfam family "tRNA". From Rfam's summary of the family: Transfer RNA (tRNA) molecules are approximately 80 nucleotides in length. Their secondary structure includes four short double-helical elements and three loops (D, anti-codon, and T loops). Lineage: Bacteria; Bacillati; Armatimonadota. RNAcentral also lists the same sequence under 2 other names. The record is from RNAcentral.